GACGAACGCUGGCGGCGUGCCUAAUACAUGCAAGUAGAACGCUGAAGAGAGGAGCUUGCUCUUCUUGGAUGAGUUGCGAACGGGUGAGUAACGCGUAGGUAACCUGCCUUGUAGCGGGGGAUAACUAUUGGAAACGAUAGCUAAUACCGCAUAACAAUGGAUGACACAUGUCAUUUAUUUGAAAGGGGCAAUUGCUCCACUACAAGAUGGACCUGCGUUGUAUUAGCUAGUAGGUGAGGUAAUGGCUCACCUAGGCGACGAUACAUAGCCGACCUGAGAGGGUGAGCGGCCACACUGGGACUGUGACACGGCCCAGACUCCUACGGGAGGCAGCAGUAGGGAAUCUUCGGCAAUGGGGGCAACCCUGACCAAGCAACGCCGCGUGAGUGAAGAAGGUUUUCGGAUCGUGAAGCUCUGUUGUAAGUCAAGAACGGGUGUGAGAGUGGAAAGUUCACACUGUGACGGUAGCUUACCAGAAAGGGACGGCUAACUACGUG
Molecule: ribosomal RNA, 497 nt
Filed under: uncultured bacterium
Lineage: Bacteria
Description: partial 16S ribosomal RNA
Rfam family: Bacterial small subunit ribosomal RNA
Source: RNAcentral